This 2078-nucleotide long non-coding RNA is filed under the name Salmo salar (Atlantic salmon). Its description in RNAcentral is "lncRNA (ENSSSAG00000119242.1, ENSSSAG00000121347.1)". The record is from RNAcentral. Lineage: Eukaryota; Metazoa; Chordata; Actinopteri; Salmoniformes; Salmonidae.
CUUAGAUCCCUCCCAUGUGUUCUCCAUUCUCAUCAAGCAUUUUAGAAAAAUACUCGUAUCAUUAUCCUCGAGCUUGCAAGCCCGAUCACGAAUAACUCCCGCAGCUCCUGCUGGCUCCCGAGGACACGGAUUUGCUUGUCUGAAGAUCAUCCUAUAGAAAAUGAUAAAUGUAUGUGAACGGGCCUGUGCUCCGUAGCGUCGUGGUGUUUCUGCUGUUGGGUGUCUCCUACAGUAAGCGCAGGUGCAACUACACGGAUAUACUCAGCACGUACAGAGAACUAAUCUUCGUUGAACUUCAGAAUUUGAAUCUGACAGGCACUUUUGACACACCCAAAGAGAGGGACCAUUGUCCCUCAGGAAAGCUGCAGCACGUGUUGCGCUCCAUCCAUGGUAUGACGGAGCAGUUCCUGUGCCAGGGCUGGGACCAGGGACACGGGCGGGGCAGCAGACAGCAGAGGGGCAUGAAGAAGCCAGUGGAGAUGAUGGCAGUGCUGAUCAGACAGAACUGCAGGCACACUGACCUGGUGAGGAGACAGAAGAGAACAGCGCCGUGUGUGACUGCCCAGAGGACGAAGGGAAAGAAUAGGACGAGGAUGAGACUCAUCAGGGCACUGAUAAACUGUUGGCAGAAGCUGCAGAGUUUGUACACACCCACAAAAUAAUUUGAAAAAAAAGUUAUAUUUUUAUCAAAAUUGUUUGAAAAAAGCAUUUAUGGAUUGUGUUUGGUUCUUAUUUGGUAGAGUAGAAUGACAGUUUGUAUGUCAGGAAUGGCCCUCUGUUUAUGACCUUUUACUUCUUGUCUGUACAGUCCCACAUGUAUAAGCUAUAGGUCACCAUAGAUCAGGGAUGGGCCACUUUGAUGUGGGCCGGGGCCACAAAGAAAACAAACUGAUCAUGCUUACUAUAAGUUUAGAUAGCUAGCCGCUAGACUAACUUGCCAAUCUAAAAAUGUUUUAAAGACUUGGGCUAAUUAAGUGACUGCUGAUGCACAACCACAUGUCGAAAUUGCACCUUGUGUAAUCUAUUAUUCUAACUCUUAUCAGUAAGUUGAGACCCGACUGAGUUGCCCCAUUAAUUAUGGUUGUUAGAGGAUGGUUUUACAAUGCAGUGAAAAUAUUUACUUGUAAUACCUUGGUGCACACACAUUUUAUAACUCUUAGCUAUCUCACAAUCCAGAUAUUGUUUUUGUGAAACCGAUAGAUACAUUUGCUGUUCUAUGAAAUGUAUUCAAGAUGCCCACUGAUAAAGGUUUCAUAAACUGCACCAUUGGUUGUUUAUUCCUGUAAUGAUCAAAACAUGGGCCAUUACUAGAUACCUAUUGUUUAGUUCUCUUGUUAUAAGAAAUUGUUAUCAAAAUGGACAAAAACAAGAAACUUCCCAAGUUGCAUAACUUCCAGAACGUUUCUCAUUCUAGGUUUUUGUUUCUGUGGGGAAAGAUAUUCCACAUGCACAGUCAUGUUAAUAUGAACUCUGUAGCACUGUUAGUGCUAUCCUGGAUCCUUGGGACGUCCAUACCAUAAACUUUUAUUUAAUUUUUUUAUUUAUUUAUUUCACCUUUAUUUAACUAGGUAGGGAAGUUGAGAACAAGUUCUCAUUUACAACUGCAACCUGGCCAAGAUAAAGCAAAGCAGUUUGACACAUAUAACAACACAGAGUUACACAUGGAGUAAAACAAACAUACAGUAGAAAAAUAAGUCUAUAUACAAUGUGAGCAAAUGAGGUGACAUAAGGGCAAUAAAUAGGCCAUGGUGGUGAAGUAAAUACAAUAUAGCAAUUAAAACACUGGAAUGGUAGAUUUGACAGUAGAUGAGUGUGCUAAGUAGAAAUACUGGGGUGCAAAGGAGCAAAAUAAAUAAAUAAAUAAAUACAGUAGGGGAAGUGGUAGUUGUUUGGGCUAUUUAUAGAUGGGCUACGUACAGGUGCAGUGAUCUGUGAGCUGCUCUGACAGCUGGUGCUUAAAGCUAGUGAGGGAAAUAAGUGUUUCCAGUUUCAGAGAUUUUUGUAGUUCGUUCCAGUCAUUGGCAGCAGAGAACUGGAAGGAGAGGCGGCCAAAGGAGGAAUUGGCUGCUGGCUGCUGG